Non-coding RNA from Physcomitrium patens, 323 nucleotides. The record is from RefSeq and is a predicted model, not a curated record. Lineage: Eukaryota; Viridiplantae; Streptophyta; Bryopsida; Funariales; Funariaceae.
AACUACAAGACUCGGCAGAAAUCGUUUUGAGGGGCCGGUCCCAGAACGAGCGUUUGAAACCAUGACCAAUCUUUUCGACCUGGACUUGUCAAGCAACAAGUUUAACGGGACACUGCCAAACCUGACAAUGAUACAUUCCUUACGCACUGUGUGAGUUUCGGAUGCCCAGGAUGUGUGUGCAGUACCUUACAAGCUUAAGCAUAACUCUGCAAUUAUGUUGCCAGCUUGUCAAUGUUGUGACGGGAAAGUUGUAACCACGCACGUCAGUUCCAUAGUUGCAUUCCUUACAUUGGCUAACACUUGCAGCAGGGAUUGCCAUGGAA